This 283-nucleotide ribosomal RNA is filed under the name uncultured bacterium. Its description in RNAcentral is "partial 16S ribosomal RNA". It matches the Rfam family "Bacterial small subunit ribosomal RNA", at positions 773 to 1060 of the family's 1533-position model. The record is from RNAcentral.
GUGGAUUAGAUACUCGGGUAGUCCACGCCCUAAACGAUGAAUACUCGAUGUUGGCGAUAUACGGUCAGCGUCUAAGCGAAAGCGUUAAGUAUUCCACCUGGGGAGUACGCCCGCAAGGGUGAAACUCAAAGGAAUUGACGGGGGCCCGCACAAGCGGAGGAGCAUGUGGUUUAAUUCGAUGAUACGCGAGGAACCUUACCCGGGCUUGAAAGUUAGUGAAUGUGACAGAGACGUCACAGUCCUUCGGGACACGAAACUAGGUGCUGCACGGCCGUCGCCAGCU